Non-coding RNA from Callithrix jacchus (white-tufted-ear marmoset), 3480 nucleotides. NCBI's taxonomy places the organism in Eukaryota, Metazoa, Chordata, Mammalia, Primates, Cebidae. The record is from RefSeq and is a predicted model, not a curated record.
CAAAACUCUGUCUCAAAAUUUAAAAAAGAUAAUUUUUAGGUUAAAAUUUUCAUGAAUAUUCUUUGAGAGGUGUCAUUUUAUGAGACUAUUUAAUAAAAGCUAGAACCUGUUAAGUAUAAUCAGGAAACACUAGCACAUUAUUUCUUACUGAAAUAUAAUCCAUAAAAAAUAAAUCUAUAAUAAAUUCAAAAUAAUAAGUCCAAAGAGACCUGGGCCUAAUAACGAUGCUUCUCACUGAAAUACAAUGUGUUCUUUUUUUUUUUUUUUGAGACAGAGUCUCUCAAAAAAAGGCUGGAAUGCAGUGGCACGAUCUCAGCUCACUGCAACCUCUGCCUCCUGGAUACAAGUGAUUCUCCUGCCUCAGCCUCUGGAGUAGCUGGGACUACAGAUGUGUGCCACCGCACCUGGCUAACUUUGUAUUUUUAGUAGAGGCAGGGUUUCACCACGUUGGCCAGGCUGGUCUCAAACUCCUGAGCUCGUGAUCCGCCUGACUCGGCUUCCCAAAGUGCUGGGAUUAUAGAUAUAAGUCUGGCCUACAACGUGUUCUUUUUUUUUUUUUUUUUUUGAGAUGGAGUUUCACUCUUGUUGCCCAGACUGGAGCACAAUGGUACAAUCUUGGCUCACUGCAGCCUCUGCCUCCCGGCAAGUGAUUCUCCUACCUCAGCCUCCUUAGUAGCUAGGAUUACAGGCAUGUGCCACCACACCUAGCUAAUUUUGUAUUUUUAGUAGAAACAGGGUUUCUCCAUGUUGGUCAGCCUGGUCUUGAACUUCCGACCUCAGAUAAUCCGCCUGCCUCAGCCUACCAAAGUUGUGGGAUUACAGGCGUGAACCACCACGCCUGGCCUACAUUGUGUUCUUAAUAGAACAUUUGCUUCUUCUAAAUUGGUUGCCAACAAAGCAAACACAUAUACAGACAUUGUCAAUGUUACACACAAAAAAACUGUAAAUAGAUAUAGAAGAUACAUACAGAAAGGCAAGGUUGUAGUUUAGUGGGUGGGAAAACUGGGUUAAAGGUAAAAGUGACUAAUGGUGAGUAGAUAUGCAAAUGAGGUGAUGAUCAGGAGAGAAGAGGGCUCUGUGAUUGUUAGAUUUAUUGUGCAAACUUGACUCGGCUGCAGGGUGCCAGAUAUUUAAACAUUAUUUCUGGGUGUUUCUGUGGAGUGUUUCUGGAUGAGGUGAGCAUCUGAAUCAACAGAUUGAGUAAAAAAGAUUGCCCUUCUGAAUGUGAUGGGCCUUAUCCAACCCAUUGAGAGCUUAAACAGAACAAAAAGGAAUUUGCUCUCUCCACCUGUCUGAGCUGAGACAUUGGUUUUCUGCCCUCACACUGGAACUCACACCAUCGGUGCUCAUGGUUAUCAGGCACUGGACUCACCCUGAACUAUGCUACUGCCUUGCCUUAGUCUCUGGACUUCUCCGCCUCCAUAAUCAUAGCCAAUUCCUUAUAGUAAGUCUCUUUCUGUAUCUCUCCUAUAGGUUCUGUUUCUCUGGAGAAUCUUAACACAGUCCCUCCAAAGAGUUUAGUGCUUUUCGCUCUUGUUGCCCAGGCUGAAAUGCAAUGCCACUAUCUCAGUUCACCGCAACCUCCACCUCCUGAGUUCAAGCGAUUCUCCUGCCUCAGCCUCUCCCGUAGCUGGGAUUACAGUUUUAAAAAUAGAGGCCAGCUGUAGUGGCUCAGGCUUGUAAUACCAGGACUUUGGGAGGCCAAGGUGGGCUGAUCACGAGGUCAAGAGAUCGAGACCAUCCUGGCCAACAUGGUGAAACCCCGUGUUGGAAAUAGAUGUUGGAAAUAGCUCUUUGGUGCCGCAAAGAAAAAUUAGCACUGAGACAAAGGAUCUUUCAGCAAUGCAAUCUUUACUUCCUGGACUGCAGGAACGAUACUCCUGGUAGCCAUCCUGCCAUGAGAGUACAAAGAACAAAGGGAACACACAUAAAGGCAAAGGAGUCUUUCCCUGUAUUCACCACUACCACAGGCCCAUGGGAGUCCUGCCGGUAUUCACUUAUGGAUCAAGAGCUCUUCAGUCAGCUUGUGGUGAAUGCUGCCAGGCCUGGGACUCACCCUUCAAAGCAUUGGGCUUUCUUCUGCCUCAGCAUAUGUCCCAAAAUACUGUUCAACAACCAAAGCCCAGAAUCAGGAAUCUUGAGAGGUUACUUGGUAUUUUCCUUCACUGUGGCUGACUUGCUACCUAAGCUGCAAGACAAAGUUUCUUUUAUUCUUCCCUUUCUCUUUCUCAAACUGUGAAUAUGCUGGAUUACAUCAGAAGCCUGUAUAUCUGAGUCUCCUUCAAGGUCCUUAGUGUGUUCUAUCUGAUUACUGCUGCUAAUUAUUCAGGGUCCAGGAGCUCUGUAGUCAACAAGUGAUAAAUACCGCUAGGACUGGGUCUUUUUUUCAAGACAGUGGGUUCAUUUCUGGCCUAGGGUGUCUCUAGAAAUGUCUGCAAGCUAGAGUCUGUAAUGAGAGUCUCAUAACUUUGUUCAGUGCCCUAUUCUACUUUGGCUGAGAUGGUAUUUAAGUUGUGAGACAAAGUCCUUUUUAUUUUUUUUUUCCUCUCUCCUCAGGCAGAAGGAAGGGGUCUCUUUUGGAGCUGUGAGCUGCACUGUCUGGGGUUGGGUGUGGUGUGAUCCAAGCAUUCCUUUAGCUGUCCCAGCUAAUGUCUUACUAAGUCACAUGACACCCAAGUCCAUUUGCUCUGAGCCCACCACAACACUAGUACUUGCCUAGGAGUUGCGGUCUUGGGAGCCUAAACAGCAUUUCAAGUUUAUUUAGGACCCCAGAGCCAUUUAGCCCAUGAUGGUGAGGCUUGCUGAAACUCAAGUUCUGACUGCUGGAAGGGGCAAUUUCCCUCUGGCUAAGGUUGGUAUAAAUGCCCCUUCCAUUAGCAUCAACUAAGUUUUGCCUAGUGUUGGCAGAAUUGGGUUUCAGUGCAAAGUCUCACAAUCACUGCACUCUCCCUUUCCCAAUGCACAGAUUCUCUCUUUAAGCCAUCUGGCCACUGCCAGGUAAUAAGGGAGGGGUGGUGUUGGCAAUUCAAGAAUGUAUUUUCUACUCUUUUUAUGCCUUUUUCAGUAAUAAGACAUUAAAACCAAAUACUGUGAUGACUCACCUGAUUUUUGUGUUCUUAUAAAGUUGCUUUUAUAGAUAAUUGUCAAAUUUGGUGUUUCCAAGGAGAUGAUAAUCAGUGGAAAUGUUUGUUUAGCCACAUUCUUCUACAAUUCAAGCUAAUUAUUAUAAGUAUUAUAAUACUUAUAAUAUUAUAAGUAAGUAAGUCACUCCAGCCGUCUUACGAUAGCUGUUUACAAAUUCUUAAUCCCCUUUUAUCCUCUUUCUUUGGAUGCAAAAACUUUUGUAGUUUGUAGUAAAAAUCUCAGUCUUUGCUGCUGUCUUAAUAUCCAGUGUAUAGUCUCUGUCUUUAUUUCAUUGAUUAAUACUUACAUUUAAUGUUAGAAUCGGUAUGUUUGAAUUUACAACUGCUGUUUGUGUGU